UACGUAGGCAGCGAGCGUUGUUCGGAGUUACUGGGCGUAAAGGGUGUGUAGGCGGUUUUUUAAGUUUGGUGUGAAAUCUCCCGGCUCAACCGGGAGGGUGCGCCGAAUACUGAGGGACUAGAGUACGGGAGAGGAAAGUGGAAUUCCUGGUGUAGCGGUGAAAUGCGUAGAUAUCAGGAGGAACACCGGUGGUGUAGACGGCUUUCUGGACCGUAACUGACGCUGAGACACGAAAGCGUGGGUAGCAAACAGG
This 253-nucleotide ribosomal RNA is filed under the name uncultured bacterium. RNAcentral's name for it is "partial 16S ribosomal RNA". It matches the Rfam family "Bacterial small subunit ribosomal RNA", at positions 524 to 776 of the family's 1533-position model. The record is from RNAcentral.